UGUGACUAAUUAAAUUCCCAUGUCUGUGCUU
RNAcentral lists this non-coding RNA (31 nucleotides) under Rattus norvegicus (Norway rat). Lineage: Eukaryota; Metazoa; Chordata; Mammalia; Rodentia; Muridae. The record is from RNAcentral.